Molecule: ribosomal RNA, 859 nt
Filed under: Helicobasidium purpureum I
Lineage: Eukaryota; Fungi; Basidiomycota; Pucciniomycetes; Helicobasidiales; Helicobasidiaceae
Description: LSU rRNA
Rfam family: Eukaryotic large subunit ribosomal RNA
Source: RNAcentral
UGAACUUAAGCAUAUCAAUAAGCGGAGGAAAAGAAACUAACAAGGAUUCCCCCAGUAACGGCGAGUGAAGAGGGAACAGCCCAAAUUUGUAAUCUGGCCCUUUUGGGGUCCGAGUUGUAAUCUCGAGAACUGUUUUCCGUGCCGGACCAUGUACAAGUCUGUUGGAAUAUAGCUUCAUAGAGGGUGAGAAUCCCGUACAUGACAUGGACCGCCGGUGCUUUGCGAUACAGUCUCUAAGAGUCGAGUUGUUUGGGAAUGCAGCUCAAAUUGGGUGGUAAAUUCCAUCUAAGGCUAAAUAUUGGCGAGAGACCGAUAGCGAACAAGUACCGUGAGGGAAAGAUGAAAAGCACUUUGGAAAGAGAGUUAACAGUACGUGAAAUUGUUAAAAGGGAAACGCUUGAAGUCAGCCUUGUUCUUGGUUGUUCAGCCUUAGGGCGUAUUCAACUUUGAGCAGGCCAGCAUCAGUUUUGGGUGCCGGAUAAGGGCUUAGGAAAUGUGGCAGCUUAGGCUGUGUUAUAGUCCUUUGCUUGAUACGGUGCCUGGGACUGAGGAACGCAGCGAGCCUUUUGGCGGGUCCCCUCGGGGGCCUUCUCGCUUUGGAUGCUGGCGUAAUGGCUUUAAACGACCCGUCUUGAAACACGGACCAAGGAGUCUAACAUGCUUGCGAGUAUUUGGGUGGCAAACCCGGAUGCGUAAUGAAAGUGAAUGAAGGUGGGAACCGCAAGGUGCACCAUCGACCGGUCCGGAUUUUUAAUGAUGGAUCCGAGUAAGAGCAAGUACGUUGGGACCCGAAAGAUGGUGAACUAUGCCUGAAUAGGGUGAAGCCAGAGGAAACUCUGGUGGAGGCUCGUAGCGGUUC